Brassica oleracea var. oleracea is the source of this 1611-nucleotide RNA transcript. It is a transcript of the gene named pentatricopeptide repeat-containing protein At1g11630, mitochondrial, with no coding region annotated. The record is from RefSeq and is a predicted model, not a curated record. The transcript has 2 exons. NCBI's taxonomy places the organism in Eukaryota, Viridiplantae, Streptophyta, Magnoliopsida, Brassicales, Brassicaceae.
UCUUCCUCUCUCUCUCUCUCUCUCCCGUCCGGCGUCGUCUCCAUUUCUUCCUCAACAUCAUGAAACCUUCCUAAUGGCGUCUCUCUUCCGCAUCCUAACAUCCGAACCUCUCGCUCACAACGUGAAUCAGUUCAGAUUCAUCUCAACCGCUUCAUCACUCCUCACGCCGAACUCGAAAGCCUCACUCACCAGCAAUCAUCACAAGAACACCCGCCACGUCCUCUCCCUCCUCAGAACCGAGAACAAUCCAGAUCGAAUCCUCGAGAUCUGUAGAUCCGCUUCCCUCACACCUGACCACCACCACCUCCACCGCGUCGCCUUCUCCGUCGCGGUCGCGACACUAUCCCGCGACAAACACUUCGCCGCCGUAUCACACCUCCUCGACGGAUUCAUCAAGAGCCAACCUAAUCCCAAAUCCGAGAGCUUCGCCGUCCGCGUGAUCAUCCUCUACGGCAGAGCCAACAUGCUCGAUCGAUCUCUACAAACAUUCCACGACCUCGAGAGGUAUGAGAUCCAGAGAACGGUGAAGUCGUUGAACGCUCUGUUACUCGCUUGCUUGAAGGCGAGAGAUUACGAAGAGGCGAAACGAGUCUACUCCGAGACGCCGAAGAAGUACGGCAUCGAGCCUGAUCUCGAGACGUACAAUCGAAUCAUCAAGGCCUUGUGCGAAUCGAAUUCGACGAGCUCGUCGUACUCCAUCGUCGCGGAGAUGGAGAGGAGGCGUGUGAAGCCGAGAGCUUCCACCUUCGGGUUGAUGAUUGGAGGUUUUUACAAGGAGGAGAAGUACGAUGAGGUGAGGAGAGUGUUGAGGUUGAUGAGAGAUUUUGGUGUUCAUGUUGGUGUUGCGACGUACAACGUCAUGGUUCGGUGUUUGUGUGAGAGGAAGAGAACUAGAGAAGCUAAGGCGUUGCUUUGUGGAGUUAUGUCGAGUAGGAUGAGACCGAACUCAGUGACGUAUUCUCUUUUGAUUCAUGGGUUUUGCAGCGAGGGGGAUUUGGAUGAGGCGAUGAGUGUGUUUGAGGUUAUGGUGAAGAGUGGGUGCAAGCCGGGUAGUGAAUGUUAUUUUGAUCUGAUACGUUGUUUGUGUAAAGGAGGAGACUUUGAGACGGCUUUGGUGCUUUGUAGGGAGAGUAUGGAGAAGAAUUGGGUUCCGAGUUUCAGUGUCAUGAGGUGGCUUGUUCAUGGACUUGUUGGUAGUAACAAGGUUGAUGAAGCUAGAGAGGUGAUUGCGCAAGUGAAAGACAAGUUUUCAAGAAAUGUUGACUUGUGGAAUGAAGUUGAAGCUGGCUUGUCUCGGUGAACAUGCUGCGAGAGUUGAGUGCCAAUUUUGUGUCUUGUAUCUAAUUGUCAUGUAACAUGUUUAGAUGCCCCCCAUGAACAAUGGAGUUACACUUGAACCCAAUGUAUAUAAUCCAAACCCCCCAUAUAAUAGACUCUAAAACAUCUAUAUACCAUAGCUAAAAACCAGUAAAAUCCAUGGUAUAUCACGCAUCUUCUGUGCUGUCGUUUUUUCCCAUUCCAGAGGUUAUCAUCCAAACCUUGAACCGCUUCAAGCUCUCCGACAAGCCAGAUGACUCUCACUGGUUUACAGCAUCUCAUCCCGACUAAUGG